GAUGAAGAACGCAGCGAAAUGCGAUACUUGGUGUGAAUUGCAGAAUCCCGUGAACCAUCGAGUCUUUGAACGCAAGUUGCGCCUCAAGCCAUUAGGUUGAGGGCACGUCUGCCUGGGCGUCACAUAUCGUUGCCUGAUGCCAGUUUCCUCGUGAUGGGUGACUGUGCAGGGCGAAUGAUGGCUUCCCGUGAGCAUUGUUGCCUCAUGGUUGGUUGAAAAUUGAGUCCUUGGUAGGGAGCGCCGUGAUAGAUGGUGGUUGAGUGACGAACGAGACCCAAUCAUGUGAGACCCCUACCGAAUUUGGCCUUCAUGACCCACAUGCGUCUUUGGAACGCUCAUGACGAGACCUCAGGUCAGGCGGGGCUACCCGCUGAGUUUAGGCAUAUCAAUAAGCGGAGGA
RNAcentral lists this unclassified non-coding RNA (400 nucleotides) under soil metagenome. Its description in RNAcentral is "partial contains 5.8S ribosomal RNA, internal transcribed spacer 2, and large subunit ribosomal RNA". The stretch from base 1 to 122 matches the Rfam family "5.8S ribosomal RNA", at positions 35 to 154 of the family's 154-position model. The record is from RNAcentral.